RNAcentral lists this ribosomal RNA (260 nucleotides) under uncultured archaeon. RNAcentral describes it as "partial 16S ribosomal RNA". It matches the Rfam family "Archaeal small subunit ribosomal RNA", at positions 748 to 1009 of the family's 1478-position model. The record is from RNAcentral.
CAGCCGUAAACUAUGCUCGCUAGGUGUCAGGCAUGGCGCGACCGUGUCUGGUGCCGCAGGGAAGCCGUGAAGCGAGCCACCUGGGAAGUACGGCCGCAAGGCUGAAACUUAAGGAUUGGCGGGGGAGCACAACAACGGGUGGAGCCUGCGGUUUAAUUGGACUUCAACGCCGGACAACUCACCGGGAACGACAGCAAUAUGUAGGCCAGGCUGAAGACCUUGCCUGAAUCGCUGAGAGGAGGUGCAUGGCGUAGACGUCU